RNAcentral lists this ribosomal RNA (720 nucleotides) under Triticum aestivum (bread wheat). Its description in RNAcentral is "partial small subunit ribosomal RNA". The record is from RNAcentral. Lineage: Eukaryota; Viridiplantae; Streptophyta; Magnoliopsida; Poales; Poaceae.
AUGCUAAUAAAGCUUGAACUCAUUUCACUAGGAAGUUUUGAAAAUUGGAUUUACCCAGCUGAACAAGAGUCUUCCCUGGUUGGAGACUUGUUGCCACCGGAUACUCAUAUGCUCCCUCUAUUGCAAGUGCUGAUUAUUAGAGAUUGCCCGAAACUCUUGGGGUUUCCUUUCUCAAACCACAUUGUUUCCCUAAAUUGGUUUCCCAAACUACAAGAGCUUCAGGUACUAGACUGUCCAGAAUUAUCGUCAGUAAUUCCCAUCUCCUGGAUUGAAAAUCUGUGUUCUGUCAGGAUGAAAUGUGUAAAGCUACUGGAGAAGUUUGCAUACUCAAAAUCAUUCAAUGAAGCAAAAUUGGAAAUUAUUGGAAAGGGUGAUCUGCACAGCUUAGAGCAAGUGUUAGUUUCUGAUAAAGAAACGGGUAUAGAGACGCUGACACUGGACAAGUGCCCACCUCUGGAGUUGAAGCACCUUUUGAUGCUAACCUCGCUGAGGAGAUUGAUUGUACAAAAUUCAGUUGUUCUAGUUGGACCACUAGGAGGAGGUCAGACUGAUUUGGAAUGGCAGCUCCCUGUUGAGUAUAUCGGGAUCAAUGAAUCCAAAACAUUAACGUGCGCAUCAAUGGUGCCUCCUCGCGCGUUCGCAUGUACGACAAAAAGUUACAUCCAUCAGGCACCCAUCGCUCGUCCCCGUCUUUACUAUGUCAAAGUAAAAAGAAACUAG